RNAcentral lists this non-coding RNA (108 nucleotides) under Pedobacter sp. BAL39. RNAcentral describes it as "SAM riboswitch aptamer (S box leader)". It matches the Rfam family "SAM riboswitch aptamer (S box leader)". From Rfam's summary of the family: The SAM riboswitch is found upstream of a number of genes which code for proteins involved in methionine or cysteine biosynthesis in Gram-positive bacteria. The SAM riboswitch acts at the level of transcription termination control. The record is from Rfam by way of RNAcentral. Lineage: Bacteria; Pseudomonadati; Bacteroidota; Sphingobacteriia; Sphingobacteriales; Sphingobacteriaceae. RNAcentral also lists the same sequence under 1 other name.
UACUUAUAAAGAAAGACUGAGGGAAAGGCCCUGUAACGUCUUAGCAACCUGUACUAGCCGGAAGUAAAAGGUGCUAAUUCCUACUCUGUAGAAAGAGAAAGAUAAGUU